This 849-nucleotide long non-coding RNA is filed under the name Gossypium barbadense (sea-island cotton). Its description in RNAcentral is "long non-coding RNA (GBAR_LNC016109)". Lineage: Eukaryota; Viridiplantae; Streptophyta; Magnoliopsida; Malvales; Malvaceae. The record is from RNAcentral.
UCAAAUUCAAAUCACUAAUUACUUUUCAAUCAAUAUACAUUUCACUACUCACAUAUUUCCAUCAUUCGAUUCAAUUUGAUUCAAUUCAAAUCACUAUUAUCACUUCAAUUGCUUACCUAAUUUUACUUACCAUGCAUUUAAUUAAAAUAUAACAAUUAAUAAUAACUAAAUUUGAAUUAUAGUAAUACAAACCCGAAUUUGCUCGAUUAUUCCUCAACGACCUUCUCCUUCCCUUUUUGUGCCGAUACCUCGAAUUCUUUAUUAGCUACGAAAAUUAAAUAAUUAAUUACAACACAAAUUUUACAAUAAAAAUAAAAUUUCUAUCAAAUUUUAUACUUUAAUUCCAAUUUAAUCCUAACUAGAUUUAUCUACUUUUCUAAUUUAAUUCACACUCUAUUUCUAUUCAAAUUUCUUCUAAACUCAAAUUUAUCUACUAAUUUUUUCAGCAUUUUUCACUAAUUUCGAAUUUUCCUCAAUUUAAUCCCUAAAAUUCAAAACUUAUAGUUUAGUUUACAAUUCAAUCCUUUAUUCAAUUCCAAAUAAAAUCUCUAUCAAAUAAAUCCUCAAUUCCAUCAUUUAUUCAACAUAAACCCUACUAAAAAAUCUAUUAACUUUCAAAAUUUCAACUUAAAUCCAAGAGUAUUUCACUCUAGGAUUCCAAAAACAUCAAAUUUAUGAGAAAAUGACUUGAUUUAGCUUACCUAUUAAGCUUCAAAAUCUCAAUUUUCCCCUUUCUUUUCUUUCCCUUUUUCUUCCCCUGUUUUCGUCUCUUUCUCUGUUUCUUUUCUGUUCUUCUUCUCUUUUUCUAUUCUUUUAUUUCAUUUGUUUUCUUUUACUUUUUGUUAUAAU